Molecule: long non-coding RNA, 994 nt
Filed under: Brassica napus (rape)
Lineage: Eukaryota; Viridiplantae; Streptophyta; Magnoliopsida; Brassicales; Brassicaceae
Description: long non-coding RNA (BNAP_LNC001962)
Source: RNAcentral
CGUUGACCUUCUUCUGUAGCGGGAAUAUAUGCGGGAACCGAGCUUUGUUCGUGAGACGAUCCCGAUGCACGGGAACUGCUCACCGAACUACGUCGAAGACGGGCUGCGGGGCGGGGUACAUCCUCGGACCUAAAAAAAAAUUAAUACAUCAAAAAUCUUUUCAAAUCAUUUCUAUUUUUAAUGUUUUCAUUUAUAUAUUUACAAAAGGUUUUAUAAACGUUUUAAAAAAAAACUAUUAAACCUUUUAUUAUACAUAGUUUAUUACUGGAAACUUAUACAAAAUAAUAAAAAAAAAUUAAAUUUUUUUAUUAUACAUGAUUUAUAUAUAUAUAUGUAUGUAUACAAAAUUAUAAAAAAUUUAUAAAUAUAGAAAAUGUUGUUAAAAAUUUAUAAAUGAAGAAAAAUGUUGUUAAAUAUUUAUAUUUUUUUUUAAAAACGUUUUAUUAUACAUAGUUUAUUAGUGGAAACUUAUAAAAAAUUAUAAAAAAUUUUAAAAUUUUUAUUAUACAUGAUUUAUAUAUAUAUAUGUAUACAAAAUUAUAAAAAAAUUAUAAAUAUAGAAAAAUGUUGUUAAAUAUUUUUAAAAAAUUUUAAAAACGUUUUAUUAUACAUAGUUUAUUACUGGAAACUUGAAAAACGUUUUUAAAAAUCAAAAAAUAUUUUAAAAAUAGUAAAACGUUUUGAAUUUUAACAAAAACAAAUAAUUCCAAAAAAAACUAAAACAACAAUCCAAACAACAAUCCUAACUUAUAUAUCCUAAACUAUCCAUUCAAUCCUAAAAUUUUCAAUCAAACAACCUAAAAUCCGAGAUCUAACUUCCAAAACCCUAAAAAAAUGAGAUAAAACAAGGUUGGGAUGAUUCUUACAUGAUUUGGGGUUUGGGGAAGAGAUAUGAGGGUGAGAAGAGGGUUCGCAGGUGAUAGGAGCUCGAGAAUGGUCGGAAUCGCCGUGAAAGGGAGAGAAAUCGCGGAGAGGAUUGAGAGAGAGGCGGAGG